GUUCAGGGGAAUGGGAAUCGAACCCACAGUGUUCCGCUUAUCGGGCAGAUGCCAUGUCCACUAGGCUACCCUGGA
This 75-nucleotide transfer RNA is filed under the name Cordylochernes scorpioides. RNAcentral's name for it is "tRNA-Ile". The record is from RNAcentral. Lineage: Eukaryota; Metazoa; Arthropoda; Arachnida; Pseudoscorpiones; Chernetidae.